CCGUCGCAGCACGAAGUAGCGCUUCAGCAGCAGCAACUCGGCGCUGGAUCUCUGAGCUUCAACAGUAACAUGUCUAAAGAGGAUGAGGAGAUGUCAAUGUCAGCUCUCUUCACUUUCAAGGCCAAGGAGGAAGAGAUCCAGAGGAAGAAGUUAGAGGUGAGUGAGACGUGUUGAAGAAGAGACCAAGCACUUGGCUACUAUUCGUGAGAUUGGUAACACCAGAUACAUGGAGUAUAGUAGCUAGAAAAAGGCAACAUGACAAAGACCUGGAAGCUCAUUGAGAUUAUUGAAACUGAUUGGACUUUGGUCUUUUAGGGUGUUUGCAUGCUAGGAACAAAAGUUUUAAGAUUUGGGCAUUUCAUUCACUCAGUUGCAAAUUCCCUGCAAGCACAAGAAUUAUGUUUCAUUCAGG
This is a long non-coding RNA of Argentina anserina (silverweed cinquefoil), 412 nucleotides long. RefSeq lists it as uncharacterized. The record is from RefSeq and is a predicted model, not a curated record. Lineage: Eukaryota; Viridiplantae; Streptophyta; Magnoliopsida; Rosales; Rosaceae. The transcript is spliced from 3 exons.